Long non-coding RNA from Daucus carota subsp. sativus, 1977 nucleotides. RefSeq lists it as uncharacterized. Lineage: Eukaryota; Viridiplantae; Streptophyta; Magnoliopsida; Apiales; Apiaceae. The record is from RefSeq and is a predicted model, not a curated record. The transcript has 2 exons.
AAAAAAACAGAAGCCACAAUCGACUUCAGCUAAACAAACACGGCCAAAGUGUGAAAUACAAGCCCAGCCGCCAGACUUGAACAAGCAUGCAGCUUCCUCUGUCCUCUCGUGAAUGAUUGAGUUUGACGCGGAUGAAGAAUCAAAUUAGCGAGUCCAUGAGAUGAGAUUAAAAUUUGGAUAUUGACAAGGUCAACUGGAGUCUGGACGCCAUUGAGUUGGAAAAAGAAUGAACCCGAGUAUUCAGACAAAACAUGAUUAUUCAUUGUUUUAUUUUGCCACAUUUAAUAAGGAUAACUCGUACUCCCUCCGUCCCCCUCAAUUGUUUACAUUGGAGAGGGACAUGGAGACCAAGACAAUGUAUGAAAAAUGAGUAAAGUGAGAUGAAAAAUGAGUAAAGUGGUGGGACCUAUCAAUAUUUAAUAAUAGAUUUGAGAUAGUGGAGGAAAGUAGUGGGUGUAAUAGUAUUUUUUUAUUAUUAAAUAUGAGAUAGUGGAGGAAGAUAGUGGGUGUAAUGAUGGAAAACCUUACUAUUUAUAGUAACGUAAAGAAAUGAGAGGGACAUCCCAAAAUAGUUCUCUAAAGAAAUGAGAGGGACAUAGAGAGUAGAAAUUAAGCCACUCCCUUCGUCCCCGUGGUUAUUUGUUUGCACGCAUUUUGAGACUUCUAUAAAAUAUAUUCAUAACUUUUUUUCAAAAUUUUUUUUUGAAUAAAAGUAUAAACAUCAAACUUUUAUUCAGAGAAAAAAAAUUAAAAAAAUAUAUUAUGGAACUAUACUUUAAAUGAGUGUGAAAAAAUGUGCCAAAAAGUAACGUGAAAAAAGAGGGGAAAGAGGGAGUAUAUGAUCAACUCACAACCUUACACUGUAAAUGACUACCGUGGUGAAUUUUGUUUAUGACAGGGCAUGUUUUAGCAUCCGGAAAAGUUAAUCUCAGACUAAAAUGUCGAGUUAGUCUGAAAAUUAAAGUUUUUUAUUUUUAAUUUAUGUUUAUAUAAUUAGUACGGAGGAAAUAAUUUCAUUUGAGUCUCAUAUAAUCUCAUGUCACCAAUGACAUGAGAUUAUUAUAGAUUUUAACCCCACUUGCCACCGCUUUUUCCAGACAAGUUCCCGUUCUGAAUUGGUCAAAAAGAAUUAUAUGCUGUUGUUAUUGCAUCUUUUCUUGUAGAACUGCUCUAUUGGCAGAUUGACUUGUUGAUAUAAAUUUCUUAUUGUUUUGACACAAUACACACUAAAAUUUCAAGCUUUCUAUUUCUGCGUUCUCUGAUCCUCCUGUUGGUCUUUAAUUAACCCUCAUACACACACCAAGACACAAGUCAAAAAAAUGGGAAUUCUGAUGAAGCUCGCUGAUGCAAUCACUGUGUUGUUCUUAUGUCUCGUAGCGUUUGUGGGUCUGAUGCCUCUCGGUUAUGUGUUUCUCCCAAGCGAUCACUCCCUGCAUCAUCACAUCGAGGAUUUCAUGCGAAGCGAGCAACAUUAUUUGGUAUUGGAAAUGCCUCCCUUUUUUAAGCCUCUUCUUUAUUACCACCUUCUUGUCAACUGGCCACUCGCUGUCGCCUCUCUAUACGGUUUUAUCUUUCGAAAAUCCUGGGUCAGCACCACCUCUUUGAUUCUUGGCGUCGCCUUUGCCUCCAUCGUUGUGCCGGUAUUAGGAGAGUUGGUCGGAUCGGGGAAGGGAUCGUUCGAGCUUAUACGAGUUUAUGCUGUUCUUUUCUGUCUUGCUGUUGUGGUUGUAUUUCGUAGUCUUGUGGCAUCUGCUGCCACCAAGACCAAGACGGCUUAGAUGAAUUCCAGUUAGUUUCUGUUUCAUGACUAUUUAAGUGUCUGCACUUUCUGUUUUUAUUUUGGUUAUGGAAAGAUAACACUGGGUUUUAUGUAACUAAAUACUCUGCUAUAUGCUUUUGGUCUGCAAUUCUGCAGACUGCAGUUUUACAGUUUAUUUCUUAUAAAGAUCAGAAAUACAUCGAAAGAGUUUUUGUAGA